Molecule: non-coding RNA, 1271 nt
Organism: Heterocephalus glaber (naked mole-rat)
Lineage: Eukaryota; Metazoa; Chordata; Mammalia; Rodentia; Bathyergidae
Source: RefSeq, a predicted model, not a curated record
GUGAGAUCAAGGCCAGCCUGAACUACGUAGUGAAACUAUAACACUUUUUUCCUGAAAGGUGGCUUGACAACAUGUGGGAAACACGUGAACUGACCAAAAAAAUUGCCAGAGGUGAAAAUGAAUUUAGCGAAGUUGUUUCCCUAAAUGCAACUCAAAAUGAGCGGGGAAUGGGUGCCGCCCUGACCGCAUCUAGGAGACCUUCCAAGCGGCGGGACCCGGGGAGGGUGCGGGGCGCGGAGCCGCUGCGGCGUCCGUCCGGAUUGGCGGGCUGCGCGCUUAGCGAGGUGAAUCUCGCCGCGCGGGGCCAUCUCGGGCGAACCUGACUUGCAGAGCGGUGUGGGGCGCCGGCGACCCGGCCUGGCCGCUCCGGGCAGAGGACGCGGCCCUCAACCGAGGCCGGCGGGUGGCCCCGCAGACCCGGCCUCGCCGCUCGUCCCCGCCGCCCGGCCCGAGCGCCAGGCUGCGCGGGUGCCUCGGGCCUGCGCCCGUGCGAGAGGCGGAGACGGCCGGAGCCGAAGGUUUGUUCAGCGGCUGGCGCAGUCCUGGCCGAACCGGGCGCCCGGCGGCGAGGUGGAAGUGGCUAAAAAGUAUCUUGGCUACCACAUGAAAAAAUAUAGCUCGCAGGCAUCCAAUCUCAACUUGCUAUUAACCUUUAGCCUGAUAAACAGCAAGUGGUACCAGGAGGGCAGGCCGAGAUGAAUGAACUUGAAACAUCUGUGAGCUCUGCUAGGGCACGUCCCGUCUCACCCUCGAACCGAAGACUCUUGCUGUGAUUUAUAUGACAAUUUCCCUGGAAAUUGAACCUGUGGAGACCAGAUGGCAGGAAGGGGGCCUGACUGGCAACCUCGGGAGCACGGAGGGGAGAGGCCACGCGAGCGUGCAGACUCGCUGCAGGGAGACGUAGAACACCUGAGGGUGAGCUGUUUGCCCGGAGAAGUGGCGUGGAGGGAGGAGCCAGGGCUGUUGUCGGAAGUGUCUCAUCUGGAAGUGAAAGAAGGACAAAUAAAGGCUGCCAUCUGUCCCUGGGAAAUUCCACGCACUGCCCUGUGGUUGAGCUGGCCACCGUGGGAAGCCUCAACAUCUGAACACAGGCAGUUACUGCUUAUACCUAAUACCACCGAUCCUUUAAGGCCCACAGAAGGACCUGACAACAUGAAGUACAGAUGGGGCCCUGAGUUGCUGGGGGCUCUGCAGCGAAAAGAAAAGCUGCUAAAUCUACAGCCAACUGAGAGCCCGCCAGGAAUGGGCAGGAGGCUAAGGAAUGAGGCGAG